This 159-nucleotide ribosomal RNA is filed under the name Aphrocallistes vastus (cloud sponge). Its description in RNAcentral is "5.8S ribosomal RNA". It matches the Rfam family "5.8S ribosomal RNA". Rfam says of the family: 5.8S ribosomal RNA (5.8S rRNA) is a component of the large subunit of the eukaryotic ribosome. It is transcribed by RNA polymerase I as part of the 45S precursor that also contains 18S and 28S rRNA. Lineage: Eukaryota; Metazoa; Porifera; Hexactinellida; Sceptrulophora; Aphrocallistidae. The record is from RNAcentral.
GACAACUUCUAACGGUGGAUCUCUCGGCUCGUGUGUCGAUGACGAACGCAGCCAACUGCGAUACGUAGUGUGAAUUGCAGAAUCUUGUGAAUCAUUGAAUUUUCUUAACGCGAAUGGCGCUUUGAGCUUGCUCAAGGCAUGUCUGUCUGAGGGUCGUUU